GGGCCGGGCAAACACGUCAGCAGCCUGGCCUGGGGGCGCUGGGUGGGGCAUGCAGGCGCGCCCCAUACAAAGGCAGGAGCAGCAAGCACAAAAUGCAGAGCAUCCCAGCCGGAGCCUUUGCGUCUUGCACAGCCAGCUCCACCACGAAGCUGCAUGUCUCCUUCCUCCUCGUGGCCCUGGUGCUGUGCUGCUGCUCUGGUACAUGAUCUGCACGGCGCAGCGAGCGGGGUCUCACGGCCUGUGCAAUGCUGUGCUGCCCGCCCCAGGAGACCGGCACGCAGGCUGAAGCCUGGAGAGGGCAGGCAGUCGCUGGACGGCACGAGCAGGGUCGGGCAGACCCAGCGGUCAUGCCCCCUGCGGCCCUCGUCGGGAUGAUUUCACGUGUCUUUGUCUUGCAGCCGCUGCUCUGCUGGCUCCUGCUAACUCCCUCGCUCUAUCCCCGCUCUCUGGCCUCGGCCUCCCAAACGCCCAACUCAUUGAGGAGCUCCAGACCUGUGUGAAGAGCCUCUCUCCAGGGGAGACCCUUUCCAUUCAGGGCCUCAUGGUAAAUCAGGGCUUUGGGGUGAACGUGGGUUGCUUCGAAGCAAGCAUGGGAGCAACAGUCGGAGCUUCUUAGCACGAUCUCCUGGCACUCAGGAGGGGCCGCUGGGUGCAUGCAGGUUGUCUCGGUCUGUGUGAGAGCGCAGCAUGGGAGACGGGCGAUGCAAAGCUUCCUGGGAGGAAACCACCCGGUGCAUCACUGUCGGGCAGAGGCGCGUGUGCGCUGGGGAUACGUCUCGCCCCAGCUUGGGGUCUCCAUCACAGGCUGAUGUAGGGGCAGCAUAGCCACACCAUCUCUUUCCCACCGGCCUGACUACUGCCCGCCUCGGUAGGGACGGGGUGGGACUCAAGAGCCAAGGACCCCCUUGGGUUUCCUCGCUGCGGGAACUCUCUUAGGGAGAGCUGCCACCUGGCUGGGACUAGGACUAGGACAUCCUGGGCUCUUACACGGCUUGGAAGAGGAGGUCACUCUUCCGUUUCCCCGAUGACGGCACCUUGUGACCAUCACGCACGGAUGUUCAGGGACGUCAAACCAGCACAGAACACCUUAACUGGGGUUUUAGGAUGAUGACCAGAUGACCAAAGCCAGAUGCAUCUUCACAUUGAAGAGUCGUGGAUAGGUGACAGCCCCACACGCUCUCCUCUUCUUCCCGUUCACGGCCUGGACUUUCCACCCAUGUCCGAGCACCCCGUGCUCUUCCUCGACCUGAUGCAGCAGCUUGUUUCAAUAAACUAAAGGAAAUGCA
Alligator mississippiensis (American alligator) is the source of this 1286-nucleotide long non-coding RNA. RefSeq lists it as uncharacterized. NCBI's taxonomy places the organism in Eukaryota, Metazoa, Chordata, Crocodylia, Alligatoridae. The transcript has 2 exons. The record is from RefSeq and is a predicted model, not a curated record.